UGCGCUGUGGAGCAACUGGUAGCUCGUUGGGCUCAUAACCCGAAGGUUGGCGGUUCGAAUCCGCUCGGCGCCA
Molecule: transfer RNA, 73 nt
Filed under: Fodinibius salinus
Lineage: Bacteria; Pseudomonadati; Balneolota; Balneolia; Balneolales; Balneolaceae
Description: Bacteroidetes bacterium YIM D17 tRNA
Rfam family: tRNA
About the family: Transfer RNA (tRNA) molecules are approximately 80 nucleotides in length. Their secondary structure includes four short double-helical elements and three loops (D, anti-codon, and T loops).
Source: Rfam by way of RNAcentral